UACGGAGGAUCCGAGCGUUAUCCGGAUUUAUUGGGUUUAAAGGGUGCGCAGGCGGAAGAUUAAGUCGGUGGUGAAAUUUUGCAGCUCAACUGUAAAAGUGCCAUUGAUACUGGUUUUCUUGAGUGUGGAUGAAGUAGGCGGAAUUUGUGGUGUAGCGGUGAAAUGCAUAGAUAUCACGCAGAACUCCGAUUGCGAAGGCAGCUUACUAAACCAUAACUGACACUGAAGCACGAAAGCGUGGGUAUCAAACAGGAUUAGAUACCCCGGUA
Molecule: ribosomal RNA, 269 nt
Filed under: uncultured prokaryote
Description: partial 16S ribosomal RNA
Rfam family: Bacterial small subunit ribosomal RNA
Source: RNAcentral